Molecule: ribosomal RNA, 776 nt
Filed under: uncultured Neocallimastigales
Lineage: Eukaryota; Fungi; Neocallimastigomycota; Neocallimastigomycetes; Neocallimastigales
Description: partial large subunit ribosomal RNA
Rfam family: Eukaryotic large subunit ribosomal RNA
Source: RNAcentral
GUAGUCUCGCACAGAUGCAUAUCAAUAAGCGGAGGAAAAGAAACUAACAAGGAUUCCCUCAGUAACGGCGAGUGAAGCGGGAAGAGCUCAAAUUUGAAAUCUUCAAGGUUUUACCUUGACGAAUUGUAGUUUAAAGAAGUGUUUUCUGCUGAAGUUUUGGUAAAAGUUCUUUGGAAUAGGACAUCAUAGAGGGUGAGAAUCCCGUAUUUGACCAUUAUUUUCAGCUUUGUGAUACACUUUCAAAGAGUCGGAUUGUUUGGGAAUGCAGUCCAAAAUGGGUGGUAAAUUUCAUCUAAAGCUAAAUAUUGGCGAGAGACCGAUAGCGAACAAGUACCGUGAGGGAAAGAUGAAAAGAACUUUGAAAAGAGAGUUAAACAGUACGUGAAAUUGUCAAAAGGGAAGCGUUUGACACCAGUGUUGUUUUCUCGAAAAUCAAUUAAAAAUGGCUCGACUUUGUAUUGCUGAGACCUUAAAAGCUCACUGUACAUUUUUCGUGUCUUUUUUAAUGCACUUUUCGUUUAACAAGUCAACAUCAGUUUCUUUUGUUGUAAAAGGGUCAUUGGAAGGUGGCUUUCUUUUCGGAGAAAGUGUUUAUAGCCUUUGGCCUCUGCAAUCGGAGAGACUGAGGUCUGCAGCGUAGACUCUUCGGGGUUAGAUACAUUUGUGCUAAGUUAUAGCUUUUCAUAGACAACUUGUUGACUAUAAUUUAGUCAUGUCGGCUUACUCGCUUAUGCUAUUUUACCUACGCUUAGGAUGUUGAGUCGUAGAGCACGCAG